This 502-nucleotide ribosomal RNA is filed under the name uncultured Glomus. Its description in RNAcentral is "SSU rRNA". It matches the Rfam family "Eukaryotic small subunit ribosomal RNA", at positions 569 to 1074 of the family's 1831-position model. The record is from RNAcentral. Lineage: Eukaryota; Fungi; Glomeromycota; Glomeromycetes; Glomerales; Glomeraceae.
AGCAGCCGCGGUAAUUCCAGCUCCAAUAGCGUAUAUUAAAGUUGUUGCAGUUAAAAAGCUCGUAGUUGAAUUUCGGGGUUAGCAAGUUGGUCGUGCCUUCGGUAUGCACUGGCUUUGCUGAUUCCUCCUUCUUGAAGAACUGUGAUGCUAUUAAUUUGGUGUUGCAGGGAAACAGGACUGUUACUUUGAAAAAUUAGAGUGUUUAAAGCAGGCUAACGCCUGAAUACAUUAGCAUGGAAUAAUGAAAUAGGACGUUUGAUCCCAUUUUGUUGGUUUCUAGGAUUGACGUAAUGAUUAAUAGGGAUAGUUGGGGGCAUUAGUAUUCAAUUGUCAGAGGUGAAAUUCUUGGAUUUAUUGGAGACUAACUACUGCGAAAGCAUUUGCCAAGGAUGUUUUCAUUAAUCAAGAACGAAAGUUAGGGGAUCGAAGACGAUCAGAUACCGUCGUAGUCUUAACCAUAAACUAUGCCGACUAGGGAUCGGAUGAUGUUAAUUUUUAAUGA